Molecule: long non-coding RNA, 1739 nt
Filed under: Homo sapiens (human)
Lineage: Eukaryota; Metazoa; Chordata; Mammalia; Primates; Hominidae
Description: long non-coding RNA NONHSAT220733.1
Source: RNAcentral
GAGAUGAUGACCAUAAUUGGAAAAUUGCCCAUGUGGUACUCAAAGAGGAACAGGAAUUUCGCUAACUUUUCCAGGGCACAAAAGGCGACCCUCGGAACUCAACUGGGGGAAUUUACCUGGAUGACAUCACUCUUGACAGAAACCCCCUGCCCCACAGGGGUCUGGAGAGUCCAGAAUUUCUCCCAGGUCCUUGAGAACACCAGCGAAGUGGACAAGCUUCAGAGCCCUCGAUUCUACAAUUCAGAGGGAUGCGGUUUUGGGUUAACUUUAUACCCCCAUGGCAGAGAAAGCUCUGGCUAUUUGAGACUUGCUUUUUACAUGUGCAGUGGGGAGAAUGAUGCUAUCCUGGAGUGGCCGGUAGAAAACAGACAGGUGAUAAUUACCAUCUUCGACCAGGACCUGAUGUCAGGAACAGGAUGUCCUCAAGUUUGGUGUUCACUACCUCCAAGUUGCACAUAUCUCCAGUGACAAAUGACACUGUCAUCUGGGACAGGCCGUCCAGGGUGGGAACCUAUCAUGCUGACUGUAAUUGUUUUAGAAGCAUUGACUUUGGCUGGAGUGGUUUCAUCUCCCACCAAAUGCUGAAAAGGAGGAGUUUCCUGAAAAAUGAUGACCUCAUCAUGUUUGUGGACUUUGAAGAUAUCACCCACCUCAGCCAGACUGAAGUUCCCACUAAAGGCAAAAGACUGAGCCCCCAAGGCCUCAUUCUCCAAGGCCAGAAGCAGCAGGUCUCCAAAGAAGGUUCAGGAAAGGCCAUGUUAGAGGAAGCCGUACCUGUCAGCCUCAGCCAGGGGCAGCCCGGCUGACAGAAGCCGUCAGUGAAGAACACAGGCCCCCUGGAGGACCAUAACUGGCCACAGUACUUCAGAGGCCCAUGUGACCCAAACCCUUGCCAAAAUGAUGGCAUCUGUGUGAACCUGAAGUGGGUGGCGAGGUGCAGAUGCAUCUCUGGACAUGCUUUCUUCUAAAUGGGAGCGCUGUCAGGCCAUGCAGGUGCACGGCAGCGUCCUGGGCAUGGUGAUCGGAGGCACGGCUGGUGUGAUCUUCUUGAGCUUCUCCAUCAUCGCCAUCCUUUCCCAAAGGCCAAGGAAGUGACCUGCCUGCUGGCAUUGGCCAGACCACAGCAGCACCUCCUCCAUGCAGGCCUUACCUUCCAAUGGUCAGUGCAGUUUGGGGCAGCUUUUUUAUCAGCCUUGCUUUGGAUAGGACCUCCAAGGUCUAAGGCCUCCAGCCCCAUGUGUGACCCUUGUCAUCUUUCUGCCCCACAUAAUUCUGUUACUCUGCUAUGUGCUCCUAAUGUAUCUAGUGUGUCCUGUGACAACAUUCAUCAUACUUCAUUGUAAACCACUUGUUUGAUUGACUGUCUUUCCUAUAGACUGUAAGCCCCAUGAGGGCAGGCACAUGUUGUUAUUGACCAUGCUGGCCACGUGCCUAGAUGCAUGGCUGGCACAUUGUGGGCACUCAACAAUGGUUGAAUGAAUAAAACAAUAAAUGAAUGAAUAAGAUAUAGAAACUCUCAUUUAUAUUGCAGAUCAAAUAUAUAUGAUGAAAUUCUUAGGUUGAAUAUGUUAGAAUCAAAUACUCAUUUUUCAUUAGACACAGUAGUGUCAUUACUCUUUUAAGAUCUUGUUAAAGAUUUCAAAUAAAGGUACUUCUAGGCAGCCCGGCUUCACAGCAUUUGCUUUCCUCUGAGAUUCUAAGAGAAGCCCUUUAAUAAAUUUAAUAAAUAUUGAGUUAGC